RNAcentral lists this ribosomal RNA (844 nucleotides) under Appasus japonicus. RNAcentral describes it as "bacterial SSU rRNA". It matches the Rfam family "Eukaryotic small subunit ribosomal RNA", at positions 136 to 888 of the family's 1831-position model. The record is from RNAcentral. Lineage: Eukaryota; Metazoa; Arthropoda; Insecta; Hemiptera; Belostomatidae.
UUUAAGGAUAACUGUGGCAAUUCUAGAGCUAAUACAUGCAACCGAGUCCCGACCAGCGAUGGAAAGGACGCUUUUAUUAGAUCAAAACCAAUCGGGGUUCGCGCCCCGUUGAACUUGAUGACUCUGAAUAACACACCGGAUCGCACGGUCUCAGUGCCGGCGACCCAUCUUUCAAAUGCCUGACUUAUCAACUGUCGAUGGUAGAUUCUACGUCUACCAUGGUUGUAACGGGUGACGGGGAAUCAGGGUUCGAUUCCGGAGAGGGAGCCUGAGAAACGGCUACCACAUCCAAGGAAGGCAGCAGGCACGCAAAUUACCCACUCCCGGCACGGGGAGGUAGUGACAAAAAAUAACGAUACGGGACUCAUCCGAGGCCCCGUAAUCGGAAUGAGAACACUCUAAAUCAUUUAACAAGGACCUAUUGGAGGGCAAGUCUGGUGCCAGCAGCCGCGGUAAUUCCAGCUCCAAUAGCGUAUAUUAAAGUUGUUGCGGUUAAAAAGCUCGUAGUUGGUUCUGCGUCCCACGCUGUCGGUUCACCGCCUGUCGGUGCAACUGGCACGCCGUGGGAUGUCCUGUCGGUGGCGGCCGCGGCCCGGCGUGUCGAGCCGAGGCCCCUAGCGGGGCCGAAGCCCUCACCCGGGUACCGGUCGCCGAACUAAUCCUGCCGCGGUGCUCUUAACUGAGUGUCGAGGUAGGCCGACACGUUUACUUUGAACAAAUUAGAGUGCUCAAAGCAGGCUGAAUCCCGCCUGAAUAGUGGUGCAUGGAAUAAUUGAAUAGGACCUCGGUUCUAUUUUGUUGGUUUUCGGAAUCCGAGGUAAUGAUCAAUAUGGACAGGCGGGGG